UUUUAAGAUGUGCCUGUCUCUCCACGCA
RNAcentral lists this non-coding RNA (28 nucleotides) under Rattus norvegicus (Norway rat). Lineage: Eukaryota; Metazoa; Chordata; Mammalia; Rodentia; Muridae. The record is from RNAcentral.